UCCCUGGUGGCUCAGAUGGGAAAGUGUCUGUCUACAAUGCAGGAGACCCGGGUUCGAUCCCUGGGUUGGGAA
Molecule: transfer RNA, 72 nt
Filed under: Ovis aries (sheep)
Lineage: Eukaryota; Metazoa; Chordata; Mammalia; Artiodactyla; Bovidae
Rfam family: tRNA
About the family: Transfer RNA (tRNA) molecules are approximately 80 nucleotides in length. Their secondary structure includes four short double-helical elements and three loops (D, anti-codon, and T loops). Further hydrogen bonds mediate the characteristic L-shaped molecular structure. tRNAs have two regions of fundamental functional importance: the anti-codon, which is responsible for specific mRNA codon recognition, and the 3' end, to which the tRNAs corresponding amino acid is attached (by aminoacyl-tRNA synthetases). tRNAs cope with the degeneracy of the genetic code in two manners: having more than one tRNA (with a specific anti-codon) for a particular amino acid; and 'wobble' base-pairing, i.e. permitting non-standard base-pairing at the 3rd anti-codon position.
Source: Rfam by way of RNAcentral